This 257-nucleotide ribosomal RNA is filed under the name uncultured bacterium. RNAcentral describes it as "partial 16S ribosomal RNA". It matches the Rfam family "Bacterial small subunit ribosomal RNA", at positions 524 to 776 of the family's 1533-position model. The record is from RNAcentral.
UACAGAGGUCGUCAAGCGUUGUUCGGAUUCAUUGGGCGUAAAGGGUGCGUAGGCGGCGCGGUAAGUCGGGAUGUGAAAUCUCGGAGCUUAACUCCGAAACUGCAUUCGAUACUGCCGUGCUUGAGGACUGGAGAGGAGACUGGAAUUUACGGUGUAGCGGUGAAAUGCGUAGAUAUCGUAAGGAAGACCAGUGGCGAAGGCGGGUCUCUGGACAGUUCCUGACGCUGAGGCACGAAGGUCAGGGGAGGCAAAACGGG